GCGGGUGUAGUUCAGUAGUAGAACAUCCCCCCCCUUCCAGGGGGGAAGGCGCAGUGUGCAAUUCCUGUCACCCGCU
RNAcentral lists this transfer RNA (76 nucleotides) under Streptomyces sp. SID7803. RNAcentral's name for it is "tRNA-Gly". It matches the Rfam family "tRNA". Rfam says of the family: Transfer RNA (tRNA) molecules are approximately 80 nucleotides in length. Their secondary structure includes four short double-helical elements and three loops (D, anti-codon, and T loops). Lineage: Bacteria; Bacillati; Actinomycetota; Actinomycetes; Kitasatosporales; Streptomycetaceae. The record is from RNAcentral.